This 460-nucleotide ribosomal RNA is filed under the name uncultured bacterium. RNAcentral describes it as "partial 16S ribosomal RNA". It matches the Rfam family "Bacterial small subunit ribosomal RNA", at positions 338 to 795 of the family's 1533-position model. The record is from RNAcentral.
CCUACGGGUGGCAGCAGUGAGGAAUAUUGGUCAAUGGACGAGAGUCUGAACCAGCCACGUAGCGUGAAGGAUGACUGCCCUAUGGGUUGUAAACUUCUUUUAUCAAGGAAUAAAACGAGGCACGUGUGCCUUGUUGCAUUUACUUUAUGAAUAAGGAUCGGCUAAGUCCGUGCCAGCAGCCGCGGUAAUACGGAGGAUCCGAGCGUUAUCCGGAUUUUUUGGGUGUAAAGGGAGCGUAGAGGGGUUGUUUAGUCAGUUGUGAAAGUUUGCGGCUCAACCGUAAAAUUGCAAUUGAUACUGGCAGUCUUGAGUACAGUCGAGGUAGGCGGAAUUCGUGGUGUAGCGGUGAAAUGCUUAGAUAUCACGAAGAACUCCGAUUGCGAAGGCAGCUUACUAAACUGUGACUGACAUUGAUGCUCGAAAGUGUGGGUAUCAAACAGGAUUAGAUACCCCUGUAGUC